This 961-nucleotide long non-coding RNA is filed under the name Callithrix jacchus (white-tufted-ear marmoset). RNAcentral describes it as "lncRNA (ENSCJAG00000084102.1)". The record is from RNAcentral. Lineage: Eukaryota; Metazoa; Chordata; Mammalia; Primates; Cebidae.
GUCAGCUCCCCUUCACCUUCUGCCACGAGUGGAAGCAGCCUGAGGCCCUCCCCACAAGUAGAUGAUGCUGUCAUACUUCUUGUGCAACCUGUAGAACCAUGAGAUGGCCAUAAAGUAAUGUGUUACCCAUCUCUGGAAGCAUUCAAGAGACCACAAGAGCAUCUGUCAAGGAAGAAAAUGCUGUUGGCAGAAGAUGCUGCUUUGAAACAGGAAGUACAUUCAAUCAGAUCGUACGUUCAUCCUCUGCAUAGCAUCUACUCUAAAGGAGGAUGUCACCACUUUGAGUAAGAGGAGGUCUCUUGACAACAUUCAUAGACCAACCCAAAAUCCAAGUGCAAAUAAUGCAGGAAUAAAAAGAGAAAAUGACAUCAACUAAUUUGUACUUGACUUCAUCAUAACGUGGCUGUCUGGUUUUGCACAUGGAUACUACAAAGACUAAUGACAACUCACUUUUAGCAGCCAAGAUCAUCAACAAAGAAUCUCAAUGUUAACAUUCAUCUGUUUCAAAAAGAGUAUUGCAUGUACAAACACCAACAAUUUUUAAGUCUGAUAGUGGGUGCCACGGUUUGGUUUCCAAAAGCAGACGGGGACAUAACUGCAAGUGAAUGAGAAAGUGAGAGGAGGUGAAUGAGGAAGUGAAAGAGUAAAGGAAACGUUGUCAGUAAAGGGUGAUUAUUCAGCCACCUUGCACAAGGACAAAAGGAAAUUAGUUCCAUGGAGAAACUUUAGGAGAGUGGAUGAAAACAAAUACUUUGAAACUAUCCCAUCCAAGGGGCGAGGAACUGGGGUAUUCAUAUACGUAGUCCAGAGAGUAUAUGGUUGAAUGUAUGGUUAACUGAGGAGCGUUAAUUACCUGGAUUUCUGGCCUGUGACUCACGCUUCUAGGAAGAUAAAUCUUCUGUGAGUCUGAGAAAAUAAGUCCUCAUGCACAAAGAUGCAGACUCUGGCUGAUGGAUGUCAG